GUCUAUUGGGUUUUUGAUGUGUGUGUGGUUUUUGGGUGGGGAUGCAGGGGUGAAAGUGAAUGGUGGAUAUUUCCAGCGGGACUGGUCGUGUGUAAGAUAAUGCAGUCGCAGCUCAUAAAUAGACAUGUAGCAAACCUGGAGAUACAAGACCGCUCGUUGUACAGUAAGGAUUUUGAGCUGUUUUGGCAGUCGUGACAAAGUCUUGUCAGGUAAUUUUUAUGAGAACAAUUGAAAAAAGCUUUGUCCCAGUUUGCUUUUUUUCUUUCUCUUGUUGUAAUUCUAUUACUCUAUAGGUGAAUAGAAUUAGGGAUACAAUAGAGAAGGAACUCUGUCAUGGGACAAAGAAAGUAAAGAAAACAAGUUUAUUUGAUGGUAGAUUAUAAUUAGAGGGAUUUGUUUUUCUUUUGUUUCCAAUGGAUGGUCGUAUUGGUUUUGAUUAUUCUUAAGGUUGUGUAUGUAAAUAAGUGAGAAACCCAUUCUCUAUCUACUUGGCACUGUGUUUCUUAUUUCUGCCUAGAGCUGCAAACCGGACGAGUCCAUGUCCAUUAGUCCAUAUACAUUAGUCCAUAUCCAUUUGUCCAUUUAUUGUUUGCGUACAUAAAGUGACCAUGUCUAUUAAGAACCAUAUCCAUUAAGGACCAUACCCACUAACACCCAUAUUUUCAUGGGCUGCCAUGGAGUCCAUAAUGACCAUAUAAGAAAUUUUAAAUUUUAAUUUAUAAGCCUACAAUUAUAUAUACAAAUUCAUAAAAUUAAAAUUCAUCCAUAAAUUCAAAAAUACAACAAUAAAUAAGUUCAUAAGUGAAGAAAUUCUGCCUCAGAGUAGGCUUCUUCACUUGAAUUAUUGUUCUUUGGUGUAUAUUGACAAAGUAAUGGAUUUUGGGAUCUUAAUUUUUUUUUUUAAUUUGGAGAAGUUGACUUCUGACUUUUGAGAGAAGGAACGUAGCCAAGUAAACCAUUACUCCCGCCGUGACCUAAUUACAACGACGUUAUGAGACUAAACAUAUAGCGUUAUGAAGUCGACCAAAUUGGUUCCUCCAUGGUCAUUUUCCCUAAAAAUUUACAUAUUUUUAAAAUGGGUGUCACCAAGAGCUCUUAAUUAAGAGGUUGUGGAAUUAAAUUAACUUAAUUAAAGACACAAAGAUUCCUUGUCGUUAAAGUUAUCACAAUCCAACUACAGAAUGAUCUCACCAAGAAAAUCCGAGUCGAAGAGUAUUAAUGCCUUUCACUUGAUAAACCAUCACGUGCAUGAGUUAGGACAGAGAGCAGAUUUCUUCCAUAGCUCAUUACCAAAUGCAUAUGUUACCAGUAGAACUAGGUAAUAUUUUCAGUAACUAUUGGUCCUUACAAGAAUUAACUCUUCUUUUUUAAACUCUUCUCUGGCCCAAAUCUCAUGUUUUAUUGGUUUCACAUCAUGACCGGUUCUGAUUUAUGCAUCCUUGUCAAGUAUGGACCGUCAAGUAUAGCAUUGUUUAUUUUGAUAAGAUUUUUUUCAUAUUAAACUACAUUUUUGAUAAAAAAAACUACGUUAAACUACAUAUUUCAUAAAUUAUUUUGAUUUGAUAACAUAGAAAUAUGCACAUGAUGCAAAGAUCCGCCCCCUAACUAAUGAAAUAAAAUCUUUAUAAACUUUUAAAACACCGCAUUAAUAAUAGAUCAAAUAGAUAUAAUAAAAUUUUAAUACUUAAACAUGAACAUAAAAUCUCAAUUAUUUAUUAAAAAGCCAAAACACUGUUCUAUAAGCUUAUAUUCCACAAGAAUCUCCUCCAGGUCCGCCAUAUGUGAACAAAUUAGAUUCUUUGAAGAAAAUUCGUUUCUUUCCAUCUUUUAAUCCAUAACAUUUGUUGUUGUCUAAUAGCUUCUCUAGCUUAUAUUUGCGACUAGCCAUGAAAUUAUAUUUAGUGUCUACAAUGAGGAGGUUUUUAACACGUGCGGAUUCAUCUUCCUUUUGAGUUGGCAGAUGACCAUUGCCCAUUGGUGGACUAAUACCAGAAGUGGAAGUUUGGACUACUCCCGUGACUCCAACCAUAUCCACACUACGACCUAUAUCAAUGCGACAAUUGUUAUGGAUUAAUGUAUAAGAAAUCCUUUUUAUUGGCUCUUAUGAGUAUUGUCCACCAAUGUCCGGUUGCAUAAUCCUUUAAUAAAUGAUAAAAACAAUAUGCACAUUAGGUUUGUAUAAUAUUGUUCAAGAAAAUGUUACUAGAAAAGUAUAAAUACUACCUGUGAAAUACUAGGGUUAACAGCCCUAUCUCCUUUCCGGGGAUAAGGAAAAGGAACAGAUAACGGAUCAGUUGUUGACACUUGAAUAAAACCAGGACAUAUUGUAUUAUAACAUCCUGCUCCAUUGGCACCCUAUCAAUAUUCAGUUUAUUAUAUCAGUACAGUCUAGAUAAAAAUUGAAAAUUUAUGUAUAUCAAAAAGACAAAAUUACAAAUACAGACUAAAAGAAUAACUAAAUAAGUAUUAAAAUAUGUCUGAGACAAAAUUAUGGUUAUAUUUUAAAAUACAAUAUAAAACAUUUUAUGUAAUUUUACUAUGCAUAUUUAUAUUAUUUUAAAUGGUUUGUUUAGAAAAAUAAGAUUUAAAAUUAUAAAAAUGUGAGAUUUUAACUAUAUUUAUAACAAGAGAAAAAAAUCGUAUUAUUUUAGUUCUUAUUUUUAACUAUCCUUUUACAUUUUAAUGAAACAACUUUAAAAACAGAAGAUUGAUAUUUAUAUGUUUCACUUAUACUGUAUAUAAAAUACAAUAAUCAUAUUUUAAUAACACGCCAUGGUUUAGCAUAAUUUUCUUUUAACUAAAAAAAUUAUGAUUAUUUUUUUAUGUUUCAGCUAAUGUACCUUCCAAAACCCGUAACUCCAGGUGCGUCCAUCAUCAAAUAAACUUGGAUUUACCUAUUUGUCAAACUAUAUUUUGUUAAGCAAACCUAUAUAAAACUAAAUUAAAAAUGCAUCAACGUUAAUUUACCAUCCAACCGGUUUGGAUAAAAUUAGUUUUCUUGUUGUAUCCACUGCCAACAUAUAUAUUAGCAUAUGAAGCUUGGUCCCUACUAAUAUUCAAAUCAUGCACACUCAUCCAAGCUGCUAAACCAUGGUAAGGACCUUCAUCUUGUGAUCUAACUCCAGCAAUCUUUAAAUUCCGAAAGUUACAUCAUAUGAUUUUUCAAGAUAUACAUAUUUAUGACACAAAUCAUUCAGUGACUUACAUGUGUUCCUGGACUAUCUUCUGUGAGUGGGUUGAAGUGUUUCUCAGCCCAAUACUUAGCAUUUGCGACAUAUUCUUUUGUAUUUUUCAGUAUAGGUACUGUUCCAUUUGGACAGUUGAUGCUUAUUCUAUUUUCAAUUUUACUUUUUAUUUGCUUUUUUAGUUUCCAGCUUGAAAAAGAUGGUUCCAUCUAUUUCAAAUUAUAUGGUUACAUAUAAUGUAAAGUGAGAUUUAUAUAUUAUCUAAUACUAUACCAAACAUAAGAUAUUUUUUUCUUGAAAAAAUCAUCUUUCCUUUAUUGAUUAAAAAAAAAAACUCAGAUAGAAAAUCAAAAUUUAACAAAAGUGUAGUAAGAGUAGUUGAUAAAUAAUUUCAGUUUUAUGUUUAACUACUUUAUAAAUAUAUAUUCAUGAGAGAAAGGUAAAAAACAAACUAAGACUAGUAACAAAGAAAAAUUGGAUUGUUAGCAACAACAAAAAUUGAUUGUAGUCACACAGUCAUUCAUCAAUUUUACUCCGCUGAAUCAAUAAAGUAAGCAUUGUUUAAAAUUCAACAAAGCAUAUAAUAUUGAGGAAAGAAUACCUGAAUUUUAUGGUUUUUGAGUAGUGGAUGGCUUAAUGACGGUUGUUUAUAUAUAUCCACACAAUCAUAUAUAAUCUUCUCGUUUAGCUAUAAAAACAUAUUUGGAAUUAAUACCAGAAAAUAAUCUACAUAAAUCAGUUUAAAACUUGGAUGUGUAUAAAUACAUAUUUCUUAUUAUUAUUUUCAACUACCUUAAAUGAUUUCACAUUUCUGACACUUUCUAUAGAUUGAACCAGAGAAACUAUGAAUAUGAAUAUGAAUGUGACGAGUUUGAAAAAGAAAUUCAUAUCAAUAUGAAUGUGAACAAAUAUUUUCUUUUUGUUGAAUACACCUCCAAAUAUUUAGGUAUUUAUAAUAGUAAAGGUGAUAAAUCUAUGUUCCUUCCUGGUUUUCAAGUUUUUUUAUUUUAUUUAAUGGUUUUUAUGAAUAAUCAUUAUAAAUAAACACACAAUUUCAAUUUUCCAUAUUGUUUCAGUGGGUUUUUUUUAUACAUUGGUUCAAAUGGAUAUUUUAUUAUGAUACAAAUAUCACACACUUAAAUGUUCUAAUUUGGAUUUUCAUAAAAAAAAUUCUAUUUAAUACUAAUUUCAAUAAUUUACCUGAGUUUUAUACACCUAAAAUAAAUACAUAUCCCUCUUUAUUAGUCCAUUUUAACUUUUUAAUAAAAAAUAAUUAAUACUCUGAGAUCUUAUCUAUAAUAAAUUGAAUAUGCAUAUUAUUUUUAAAAAUGUGUAUGUUGUAUUAAUUGUUGACACACAGCAACAUAAGUAUCAAAAAUCCAACACACACAUAUAUAUAUAUAUUGCUUUUAUAGGAAAUUUAGUAUACAUAUUGAUCUGCUUAAAGACACCUUUGGUUUAGUUACCGAAGUUCAUUUUUAAACAGGCAUACAAAAGAGAAGGAACUCUGAUUGCCAAUGUUGGGAUUUAUUAAAUCCAUGUUCAACUCUAUAUUAUCCGAUUAGUACGAUAUUGUCCACUUUGGGCCUAAUUGGCUGGCCCUCAUAGAUUUACUUUUGGUUUACAUCCCAAAAGACCUCGUACUAUUAGAGUUAGAAAUCUCUUUAUAUAUUAGACACUUUUUGCUAAUUAUCCAAUGUGAGACUUAGUUUGUUAUCUCACAUUCUCCCAUUCAAACUAAGGAUCACAUUCAUCUCAUGCUCCACAACUGACUUCCAGAAUCUUUUGAGUUGAUCUCUGCCACACACCUCUCAGUCCUAACUCAUAGGAUACCAUUCAUCUCUCGAAGGGUAUAUUGGUCUUUUGCAGAUUUCUCGUCAACCGCUCUGAUACCAAUUGUUGGGAUUUAUUAAAUUCAUGUUCAACUCUAUAUUAUCCGAUUAGUACGAUACUGUCCACUUUGGACCUAAUUGGCUGGUCCGCAUGGAUUUAGUUUUGGUUUCCAUCCCAAAAGGCCUCGUACUAUUAGAAUUAGACAUGUUUUUGUCUAAUUCUCCAAUAUGAGACUUAGUUAGUUAUCUCACGGCCAAGGGUAAAAAAAAAAAAGUUUAUUUGAUAGUGGAUUAUAGUCAGAGGGAGAAAUCUUGUGUAAUAUGAAAAGAUCAUAGUGGAUUAUGUGUAGAUUUAUAGCGGAUUAUAAUUAGAGGGAGAAAUCUUGUGUAAUCUGAAAAGAUCAUAGUGAUUAUGAAUAGCAUCAAUAGUGCAUUGGACUAUAUUGGUUUAGUAAUUGGAAUUAGUUAUCUCCUAUAUAUUAAUUGAGAAGCAUUUGAAAAAUUAGAACCUUAAUUUUGUAUUAAUUAAAAACAACCUCAAAUCCUAGGUGGCACUCUAAAUGCCUUCUAAAUUCUAUUUCAAAGAAUUCUAGAGCAUCUAAUAUAAAGUAUAGUUUAAUCUAAUGGUGUCACAUUAUUCCAUAAUUAUAUAACACUAGAGAACAUUAUAUUAACCUAAAAUAUAAGAAGUGUGUAUUAUUUCCUUAAAUAAAAGCUACAGAAUUACCUAAUAUGAUUUACAUAUAUAUGACAAUUAAUGAUUAUGAAUAAUAAAGAUUUGAUAACAAUUUUUGCAUCAUUCUUCAUUUUUGUUUAAUUUUAUAUUAUUAAAAAAAAACAAUCACAUUAACCAUAUAAUAAAAAAUUAGAUUUUUUCUUAUAUGUUAUAUUUUGAAUUUUUUAAAAUGACUUUAAAUUACAAAAAUGAGGAAACCUUAUAUGUUAUAUUUUUUUUAAACGACUUUAAAAUACAAAAUUGAGGACACCUUAUAUGUUAUAUUUUCUUGUAUGUUAGACUUUUUCUUAUAUGUUAUAUUUUGAAUUUUUUAAAACGACUACAAAAUGUAAGUUUUCUUUAAGUAUACGACUAAAACAUUAAAAUGACAUGUAUCAGUUCGAUGGUUGAUUUGAAAGCUUUCAAAACUAUAUGUAAGAUAGAAGUCAAAAUAAUUCAACUGUGAAAACAAUACUGUUCACUUUUUCAAGAAUGUGUUCGAGGAAAAAAAUAAGGUUUUUAUGUCAUAAGUUGUUUAAUGUCCACUAGAGAACAUUAUAUUAACCUAAAAUAUAAGAAUUGUGUAUUUUUUUCCCUAAAUAAAAGCUAUGAAAUUGUCUAAUAUGAUUUACAUAUAUAUGGCAAUUAAUGAUUAUGAAUAAUAAAGAUUUGAUAACAAUUUUUGCAUCCUUUUUUAUUUUGUUUAAUUUUAUAUUAUUGAAAAAAAUAAACAAUCACAUUAACCAUAUAAUAAAAAAAUUAGAUUUUUUCUUAUAUGUUAUAUUUGGAAUUUUUUAAAAUGACAUUAAAUUACAAAAAUGAGGAAACGUUAUAUGUUAUUUUUUUUUUAAAACGACUUUAAAAUACAACAAUGAGGACAUCUUAUAUGUUAUAUUUUUCUUAUAUGUUAUAUUUUUUCUUAUAUGUUAUAUUUUGAAUUUUUUAAAACGACUUUAAAUUACAAAAAUGUAAGUUUUCCUUACGUAUACGACUAAAAACAUUAAAAUGACAUGUAUCAAUUCGAUGGUUGAUUUGAAAGCUUUCAAAACUAUAUGGAAGAUAAAAGUCAAAAUAAUUCAAUUGUGAAAACAACACUGUUCACUUUUUUCAAGAAUGUGUUUGAUGAAAAAAAUAAGGUUUUUAUGUCAAAAUUUGUUUAAUGUCCAAUCCGAUCAACCCAUGAUGUAUUAAUUAAAGUUUUGUUUCAUCAUUUUUAAUAAAAAUUGAUCUGAUCCAGCGGAAAGAAAUUAUAUAAUAACAAAAAAUAUUGUAUAUAUAUAAAUAAAAUGAUCAAAUAUAUAAAAACAUUAUCGGUAACAUGUAGAAAUAAACUCUUAUCCUAGUAUUGUGUUAUUAGCUCGAUUUUCAUUGGGAGGAGAAGUUUUAAGCUAAUUCAUCGAAAUUAACACUGACUGGUCCCGUGUCUAGGGAAAAAAAAAAAAAGGGAAAGAUUAGGGUUUGGCCUAAACUCCUCCCAAAUUACAAUGAGCCUAAUCGUAAAAGAAAAACUUGAUAAUUUUUUUGUCGACGAUUGUAACUGUAAUAAAAUGCCCGAAAUUAAAUGUUGGAAAAUCUUGUUAUUCCAUAAACUCCAAAUGAAGAAGUCAGAUUUUGACUCGAAAACGCUGAUCGCAUGUAGCUUUUGUUUGGAUCAAGAGUAUAUGUAAGACCGACAUAUAACGUAUCUCCUAUCAAAUCAUUAAAUAAAUCAUCAACCCUACCUCGCACCCUCUAAAGCAAGCCUAUCACUAUUCCCAAAACUAUUAUAAACACAAAUCAAAAAGUAACACAACUUUUGCUUUUAAAGGAAAAACGUUUCACAGUGACAAAAAAAAACGUUUCAUGUGGUUUGACUAAACGGACGUCGACGUAUCGUGAAGCUGCUUGCAACUCCGGUAUCAAAUCUUAUGCUUUAAAAGCAUUUAUUAUGGGAUCCAUAUUACUAACCAUGGAUAACCGUUGGAAUCAAUGCCUUAUUCAGUCAUGGACCUAGACGCUCUGCUGGCUUAGCACGCCUUUACGCUUUGUGGAACUACAUGUCUUUGGUCAAUGUGGUAAGUACUCUUUGUUUUUUGUUAUCGAAAACUUAUUUUCUUAUAAAAUGCAAUGUGAACUGCAUGCAUGUUCAUGACACAUGAGGAUGAUUUUUUAACAGUUAUAUUUGUUGAAGUUAUGACUGUUGAUUCUUGCAUGUCUCACGUUACCUGACAAGUUUUGGUUGUGUGACAGUUUGUUGCUUUUCUCUGCGGAUAUGUUCAUUAUCACAGCGAAUCAUCAGCAAGCAAAAAAAUCCCGUUUCAGCCGUGGAAUAUAAACAUGUAAGUUUUACUACAAUGGAAAGUAAUACUUUGUGGCAAUCUUACGUUUUGGUCUAUUCGGUUUGUGAUGUGUGUUGUGGUUUUUGGGUGGGGAUGCAGGGGUGAGAGUGAAUGGUGGAUAUUUCCAGCGGGACUGGUCGUGUAUAAGAUAAUGCAGUCGCAGCUCAUAAAUAGACAUGUAGCAAACCUGGAGAUACAAGACCGCUCGUUGUACAGUAAGGAUUUUGAGCUGUUUUGGCAGUCGUGACAAAGUCUUGUCAGGUAACUUUUAUGAGAACAAUUGGAAACACCACUGUCCCAGUUUGUUUUGUAAUUCUAUUAUGCUAUAGGUGAAUAGAAUUAGGGAUAUAAAAGAGAAG
RNAcentral lists this long non-coding RNA (8409 nucleotides) under Brassica napus (rape). RNAcentral's name for it is "long non-coding RNA (BNAP_LNC023739)". The record is from RNAcentral. Lineage: Eukaryota; Viridiplantae; Streptophyta; Magnoliopsida; Brassicales; Brassicaceae.